GAUAGUCUAGUGCUACAUUCUAUUGCGACAGACUAUUGCAAUACUAUUGCAAUAGUUUUUUAUCCCCGUGAAUUGUCUCAUUUGCAGUCAUUUCCCAAUUGAAUGUAUAGUUUAUAUG
Molecule: long non-coding RNA, 118 nt
Organism: Haliotis rubra (blacklip abalone)
Lineage: Eukaryota; Metazoa; Mollusca; Gastropoda; Lepetellida; Haliotidae
Exons: 3
Source: RefSeq, a predicted model, not a curated record